Molecule: long non-coding RNA, 1586 nt
Filed under: Homo sapiens (human)
Lineage: Eukaryota; Metazoa; Chordata; Mammalia; Primates; Hominidae
Description: HSALNT0121953
Source: RNAcentral
GUAUGGCUGGCAAUGGUGAAGGGUCCAGGGGGCUAAGAAGGCUUAUGAGAAGAGGGAUGUUUGCUGACCUCAACUCUACCACAAGGUGACAAAAUUGUCCACUGUUUCCAUCAUGAAUUAUUUCAUUUAAGUUAAGGGAAGACUAUAAUGUCAUUACAUUCCUGGAUAAACAGACCCAAUGUCAUUUAUUUAGUAUUUUCCCAUUUGCCACUGUCAUUCUUGAAAUAAAAUAGAUCCAAACAUGGGGAGUUCCAUUUAUUAGCACCAAGGAGAAGCCCUGGGCUAGAAAGUUGCUGGAAGCCCCAAGGCUGUCAUGGAUGCUGUUUCUUGGGAUGGAGAGUCCUGAGAGGCUGGACGUGCUGCCUGGUACAUGGAAGGUCAAGGAGGAAGGAGGGUUGGAAGCCAGGAGUAUGGCCAUGGAGGGAGUCUCCAAAGUCCUAGUCAGGGGUGGAACCCAGACCGGAAGUUGGGGUAGAAGACAGGGAUGGGAAGUGACAGCUGCUAACAUUUAUGGAGGGCGAGAAAUAGGCCAAGGACUGUGCUAAUUAUUUUUUAUGCUGUAUUUUUGUUCUUUUUCCAAUUAUAUGGAAUUGGCACUACUGUCAUUUUUUUCUAUCUUACAGAUAGGGAAACUGAGAUUUUGAGCUAAAAUAAUGUUGCCAAAGUAGUCACACGCAUAAGAGGCAGAAAUGUGAUUUCAACAGUGGAUAUUUGACCACAGAGCCAUCCUCCUAACCAUUCACCCAACAGAAGUGUGUUGAGGCGCGGUGGCUCACCCCUGUAAUCCCAGCACUUUGGGAGGCCAAAGGGGGCUGAUCACAUGAGGCCAGGAGUUUGAGACCAGCCUGGCCAACAUGGCAAAACCCCAUCUCUACUAAAAAUACAAAAAUUAGCCAGGUGUAGUGGUACAUAUCUGUAAUCCCAGCUACUCGGGAGGCUCAGGCACGAGAAUUGCUUGAGCCCGGGAGGCGGAGUUGCAGUGAGCCGAGUUCACACCACUGCACUCCAGCCUGGGCGACAGAGUGGGACUUUGUCUCAAGAACAAACAAACAAACAAAAAGGUGUGUUGUGUGCCUGGCUUUCUUCUAAGUGCAGGAGGUAUAGCAGAUAAGACAUACAGAAACCCCUGCCUCAUGACAUUCCUGUGGGGCAGGACAGACAAUUCCCUAGGGAGGACAUGGCCUAUGCUGGGUAUGGUUGGUUAUAGCAAACAUGGCUGCAGGAGUCCCUUCCAUCUGUGACCCUUCCGCAGAGUGACUUUGAUGCUUCCCCCAGCAAGAGAUGGGGUUAGGCCUCCCCUUGAUUCUGGGCUGGCUCUGGGACUUGCUUUGGCCAACAGAAUAUAGCAGAAAUGACAUCUUGGCACUUGUGGGCUUAACCUUGCAAGGGCUUGCAGCUUCCACUUUUGCCUCUUGGAAGCUACUGCCAUGUGAAAAAGCUGGUCUGGUCUGUGGGUGCUGAGAGGCCACGUGGACAGAGGACCGAGGUGCCCAGGUGACAGCCAGCACUGAGUCCAGCUCCCUGCUGACCAUCAUUGCAUGGGAGACCCCAGCUGACACCGUGUGGAGCAGCCAAUUCACAGAAUC